UAGGGAAUAUUGCACAAUGGGCGAAAGCCUGAUGCAGCAACGCCGCGUGUGUGAUGAAGGCCUUCGGGUCGUAAAGCACUUUUCUGGGAGAUGAGAAAGGACAGUAUCCCAGGAAUAAGUCUCGGUUAACUACGUGCCAGCAGCCGCGGUAAAACGUAGGAGGCAAGCGUUAUCCGGAUUCACUGGGCGUAAAGCGCGUGCAGGCGGUGCGGUAAGUUGGGCGUGAAAUCUCCCGGCUCAACUGGGAGAGGUCGUCCAAUACUACCGUACUCGAGAGCAGAAGAGGAAGAUGGAAUUCCCGGUGUAGUGGUGAAAUGCGUAGAUAUCGGGAGGAACACCAGUGGCGAAGGCGAUCUUCUGGUCUGUUUCUGACGCUCAGACGCGACAGCUAGGGUAGUAAA
RNAcentral lists this ribosomal RNA (401 nucleotides) under uncultured bacterium. RNAcentral describes it as "bacterial SSU rRNA". It matches the Rfam family "Bacterial small subunit ribosomal RNA", at positions 355 to 772 of the family's 1533-position model. The record is from RNAcentral.